GCGGAGCUCCAGUGGCGCAAUCGGUUAGCGCGCGGUAC
RNAcentral lists this non-coding RNA (38 nucleotides) under Mus musculus (house mouse). The record is from RNAcentral. Lineage: Eukaryota; Metazoa; Chordata; Mammalia; Rodentia; Muridae.